GAAAUGCGAUAAGUAGUGUGAAUUGCAGAAUUUAGCGAAUCAUCGAAUCUUUGAACGCACAUUGCCCCCCUUGGUAUUCCAUGGGGCAUGCCUGUUCGAGCGUCAUUUCAACCCUCAAGCACUGCUUGGUGUUGGGCGUUUGUCCCGCCUACGCGCGUGGACUCGCCUCAAAGUCAUUGGCGGCUGUUCCCCUUCGGCUCGUAAGCGCAGCACAGUCGGCGCCCGGAGCUCUGGUGGGAUGGCGUCCAGCAAGCUAUAUUUUCAGGCUUGACCUCGGAUCAGGUAGGGAUACCCGCUGAACUUAAGC
Molecule: unclassified non-coding RNA, 307 nt
Filed under: plant metagenome
Description: partial contains 5.8S ribosomal RNA, internal transcribed spacer 2, and large subunit ribosomal RNA
Rfam family: 5.8S ribosomal RNA (bases 1-105)
Source: RNAcentral